Long non-coding RNA from Rosa rugosa (rugosa rose), 557 nucleotides. RefSeq lists it as uncharacterized. The transcript is spliced from 2 exons. The record is from RefSeq and is a predicted model, not a curated record. NCBI's taxonomy places the organism in Eukaryota, Viridiplantae, Streptophyta, Magnoliopsida, Rosales, Rosaceae.
UUGGUUAUUUGUCCAAAGUCGCGUUCUUACUAAUGUCAACAGACUAGAAGAAGACUCACCUAUGAUCCUCAUUGCAAGCACUGCCCCGGAAUACAAGAAACUAUGACCCAUCUCUCUGUAGAGAUUGUCCUAAAGCUGCCACAACCUGGAAUGUUAUCGGUGUUCCUAUUUCUAUGCAAAGAACCUUUACUCUAGACUGGGAAGCCUGGAUUGCUGCAAAUAUCCUUCAGAAAGGAAGAAGCUUAUGGAAUCUUUCUCCAGCUGUUUAUUCACUCACAUCCACCGUGAGAGAAAUAUGGUUGCAGAUAGGUUAGCAAAGAAAAGCAUUGAUCAGGAUCGGGGGUUAUGCAGGCUGCCCCAUUUGCCUAACUUCAUUGUCCAAGACGUCCUUGAUGAUGCUAAUGGCCUUGUAAGGCCUAGAGCUGUUGCCACAGCUAUUUCUUAGUUCUUUCUGUUUUUUGCUUCUUUUCUGGGUCUUUGACCCCCUUUGUACCAAAAAAAAUAAUAAUAAUUCCUUACUUGGAAAAUGUUAAUAAAAUCAGAUUUUGGUUUUUAUA